CAAUAUUCAGAUGUCUACUUGACUGUGGACCAAUACAUGGAGGUAACUCUUCCAUGGAUGGAACACCGGCCACAUGAUUACAAGGUUUUGUGUGAGAUAUGAGCUUCACCAGAGUGGAUUAAGAAGUCCAACAGGAAUCGGCAUAGGCAGCGCCAUCAGCCGGACUGGGACGAUGAUGAGGUCGUAGUCAACCAUAUCUAUGGGGCUGAUGGACACAUUCGGUUGGAGAAGCGAAUGGAGGCUCAAAGUGGAGUUGUCCUGAGCCAAAUCAAUGUUUAUAGGCGAGGGCAUAGAGCGAAAAACAGUGAAAUCUCCGAUGAGCUAUGUAGUCAAGCGGCCAUUGAGCGUAUGGAGACUUACGGGCAGGUGAUGGUUAGGAAGUAUGGAUAAGAGUAUGAUUGGCGAGGAGCGCGUACCAUCGAUGCUGAAGUUGUGCAUUCUAUUGGAGGAAAAGCCCAUGGACGAUAUUAACUUGUGAUUUUUUUUCAAUAAUAUUGAAAGUAUGACCGAAUAGCUAAUUUUCUUGUUUUUCAAGAUAUUCUAUGUUUACCAGUGUGAUUGAUUCAACAGAGUUGCAGUCUCAUGGCGGCUCUUCGUCGUAGGCAGGUUGUGGUAGCAGCCGUAGUCGGCACUCGAGCAUGGAUGACGCUAUGAGGGAGCAGCAAGAAAGGUUUCGUGAAGAGCUGCGACAACAACAAUGACAUUCCCCCAACAACAAUCAGAGUACAUGGCUGCUUAGAACGAACAAGUGCAACAAGCAAUGAACUUUUGAUUUCCAGAGCAAGCACAACAACAACCAUUCGUUUUCCCCUCAAACGAGUGGGCUCGGCUCGACUCGGUGGACAAGCGAGCUCG
This is a long non-coding RNA of Zea mays, 855 nucleotides long. RefSeq lists it as uncharacterized. Lineage: Eukaryota; Viridiplantae; Streptophyta; Magnoliopsida; Poales; Poaceae. The transcript is spliced from 5 exons. The record is from RefSeq and is a predicted model, not a curated record.